AAUGACAAAGCCAAAAAUUCAGGCCUUGCCCAAGCUGCCAAGUCCGUCAGCAGGCCAACCGCAAAACAUGCAGUGCUUGUUUUGCCACACUGCCAAGCAAGCGGUUAUUAAAAACUGCAAAAAUUAAUGAUGACUGGGGCCAGAGGGUCGUCAAAAACAAAAAUGCAUCUCGGGUGGUGGCCUCUGCCCAAAUAGCUGUCCAAAAAAACUUUCUGCCUUGGGCUAUAUGCCCAUAUUAUUUAUCAGCCAGAGGCACAAGGGCACAGGCAAGUUGAUGGCAGAUGUAGUCACGCAUCUGCCACCGACGCAAAACAACACACGUUUCUUAACCAGCAUGAAGAGGGCAUAUGACUUCAUAAUCAAACUGGAUGAUGUGCCCCAGCCCCAGCCCCAGCAAGACCAGCCCCUGCCCCUAGACCGGCUAAUCCCACAAGACCAGCCCCUAGACCAGCCCCUGCCCCUAGACCAGCCCCAGCAAGACCAGCCCCUGCCCCUAGACCAGCUAAUCCCACAAGACCAGCCUACCCCAACAGACCAGCAAAUUAUUACACUUGAACUAUUUACGAUCGACUCUCAGGCUCAGCAGCAUGUGGAGCCUCUACCACCCAGGAAAAGACAAACCCCACUAUCCACCCCGCGCCUACCAUCCACCCCAGGCCAAGGCAGACGAGCCCCACCAUCCAUCCAACCUCAACUAAAGAAAAGACAAACCACAGGUAAAGGAGCCACACAGGCCCCACCCUCUACCCUGGCCAAAAAGAAGAAAACAAAAAGUUGCAAAUGCAGUCGACAGACAAUUUAUCCAUACGAUAAAAUAUUGGGAAGACGGAUGAAUGGGGGGAAGGCAGCAGAGGUCAAAGUGCACUGGCUACCUUGCUCUUCCUGUGGCAGAGUCUGGGAGGACACCUGGGAGCCGGCCAGCAAAUUCGCCUGAUGACCAAUACUGUUGUACUAUUUGUUUUGUAUAUAUUUGUCAAUAAUUAAAUUCACUAUUGUUACAUUUUAUGAUUUGUCUGUCAAUCAAUGACUGCACUGAAUAAUUAAUGUGUCAUGACUUUGUGCUGUAUUUGAUGGGAAAAGUGAGAUAGCUGAAAGUUGC
Long non-coding RNA from Cyprinus carpio carpio, 1099 nucleotides. NCBI's taxonomy places the organism in Eukaryota, Metazoa, Chordata, Actinopteri, Cypriniformes, Cyprinidae. The record is from Ensembl.